GAAUUUUUGUGGUACCGGCUUAUUUCAGGUACAUUUCGGGAAACUAUUUUCAAAACCUGAAUUUUGAAAACCACAAUGGGUGAAAAGCAUGACGGAACAAUGCCGCAUGGAGGGGGAAGCCUACGGGUCAUCAACUUCUUUUCUCGAAGAAGAAACAAAGACGAUAUCUCAGGAAUAAGCAUCGGCUAACUCUGUGCCAACAGCCGCGGUAAGACACAGGAUGCAAGCGUU
This 231-nucleotide non-coding RNA is filed under the name Zea mays. Its description in RNAcentral is "Bacterial small subunit ribosomal RNA". It matches the Rfam family "Bacterial small subunit ribosomal RNA", at positions 333 to 542 of the family's 1533-position model. Lineage: Eukaryota; Viridiplantae; Streptophyta; Magnoliopsida; Poales; Poaceae. The record is from Rfam by way of RNAcentral.